AACCAGAAGGCGCAAUGAGAGUGAAGGCACGUUCGGCGUGCUGAGGUGAGAGCUGUCGGUGGCAGCGCAUCAUCGACCGAUCCCAUCCGCUCCUAACGGUGCGGAGGGAAUCGAGUGAGAGUGUACCUGUUGCGACCCGAAAGAUGGUGAACUAUGCCUGAAUAGGGUGAAGCCAGAGGAAACUCUGGUGGAGGCCCGUAGCGAUUCUGACGUGCAAAUCGAUCGUCAAAUUUGGGUAUAGGGGCGAAAGACUAAUCGAACCAUCUAGUAGCUGGUUCCCUCCGAAGUUUCCCUCAGGAUAGCUGUAGCCCAAAGCAGUUUUAUCAGGUAAAGCGAAUGAUUAGAGGUAUCGGGGAAGAAACUUCCUCGACCUAUUCUCAAACUUUAAAUAGGUAAGAAGUCCGACUUGCUCAAUCUGAAGCCGGACACAGAAUGCUGGGUUACCAGUGGGCCAUUUUUGGUAAGCAGAACUGGCGAUGCGGGAUGAACCGAACGCCGAGUUAAGGUGCCAAAGUCGACGCUCAUCAGAUCCCACAAA
RNAcentral lists this ribosomal RNA (538 nucleotides) under Hyrtios sp. G313008. RNAcentral's name for it is "eukaryotic LSU rRNA". It matches the Rfam family "Eukaryotic large subunit ribosomal RNA", at positions 705 to 1218 of the family's 3401-position model. Lineage: Eukaryota; Metazoa; Porifera; Demospongiae; Dictyoceratida; Thorectidae. The record is from RNAcentral. RNAcentral also lists the same sequence under 2 other names.